GUGAGGGGAGUUCCUUACUGAGACCCAGACAACCAGGUGAGGGGAUUUCCUUACUGAGACAACCAGGUGAGGGGAGUUCCUUACUGAGACCUAGACAACCAGGUGAGAGGAGUUCCUUACUGAGACAACCAGGUGAGGGGAGUUCCUUACUGAGACAACCAGGUGAGGGGAGUUCCUUACUGAGACAACCAGGUGAGAGGAGUUCCUUACUGAGACCUAGACAACCAGGUGAGGGGAGUUCCUUACUAAUUAGUGACCUUAAUUAAUCAACCAUGUACUAGGGAGUACACUUGGCCCUCUGUGG
Molecule: long non-coding RNA, 304 nt
Organism: Oncorhynchus tshawytscha (Chinook salmon)
Lineage: Eukaryota; Metazoa; Chordata; Actinopteri; Salmoniformes; Salmonidae
Source: Ensembl